This is a long non-coding RNA of Hemibagrus wyckioides, 2325 nucleotides long. RefSeq lists it as uncharacterized. The record is from RefSeq and is a predicted model, not a curated record. The transcript is spliced from 7 exons. Lineage: Eukaryota; Metazoa; Chordata; Actinopteri; Siluriformes; Bagridae.
UGUGCUAAGCUCUCUAUCCUGUGGCUACUACAGGUCACGUUACAGCCUCCGGAAUAAAAACACUUUAGUGAUCUUCACUAUCUACAUGUCUACUGUGGGUUGAGGCUUUUGAGGCCAGUGAGACACACUGACAGAUUUUAUUCUCGAUUCAUGAGGCUAAAAUCCUCCACGUAGCCGGACAGAAAGAGAGAGUGAUUUCACCCCUCAGGACAUCUUUCAAGCAGCGCGAGCGCCGGCUAUAAUCUGGACAACGGCUGUUAGUUUAUGAAGAACUGAAUAAAUCUACUGAAUUCAUGUUUCUCUAAAGGAGAGAAGUAAACUUAUCAUUGCAUGUUUACUCCAGGACUGAGAAAUGGUUGUACCUUUGCUGGCGGUCGUGUCCGCGCUCGUUUCUUCUCUCGAUGCAACACUACGCUUUUACCUUCCGGGUUCUGUGACCAACCGUAGCCCAAAUUCCACCAGCGCCCUGUAGGUCAACAGCGCCGAUGGCGGUUGUUGUUGACCCGGGCCUCGACCGAUCUGGUGAAAACACCAGCCAGAGCAUGAAGGAGAAAGCUGAAACUGAUGGGAAGUUUCCUCACGUCUCUCCACAGACAACUGAGUAAAAAAGGAUAUGAGGAAACCAAGACAAGAGCAAAAGUUGAUGCUGAAGUUGAUGCUGAAGUUGAAGGUGUUGCAGAGGAACACAGCAGCAAAGAAAAGGAGAGAAGAAAAGGACCAGGAGAGGGACAUGAGGCAGAGGACAGAAGAAAGUCCUGGUAAACAAAGCAGAAGUAGAAGAGGCUUAAAAAGUGGUUCAGGCUGAGGCUGAAGCUGGAGAAAGCAAGCCAGAAGAUGCUGAACCAGAGAAAAGCACAUCUGCUGUGAAAAGCACCAGCAGUGAAAAGGAGAAGAAAAGGAGGAAGAGAGGGAGACGAGGCGGACAUAAAAAGAGACUUCGGGCCAACAUUGCAGAAGGAGAUGAGGUUAAAACUGAGGCUCAAGCAGAAAUUGAGGCUGAAGCUGUUGUUGAAGCUGAGGCUGAAGUGGAAGCUGAGACUGAAGCAGUUGAUACUGAGGAUGAGGUCGAGAAAGACGAUGAGGCUAAAACUGGUGCUGAGGCUGAAAGUGAAGGUUGAGGCUGUAGUUGAAGCUGAAGCUGAGGAUCAUGUUGAAUUUGAAAUGCUUUUAAAAGCAAGCCAGGAGAUGCUAAAACAGAGAACAGCACAUCUGCUGAGGAAAGCACCAGCAGUGAAAAGGAGAAGAAGAAACGGACCAGGAGAGGGAGACGAGGUGGAGGAAAGAAGAAAGUCCAGGUCAACAAAGCAGAAGUUGCUGAGGCUGAAAACGUGGUUCAGGAAGAAGCUGAGGCUGAAGCUGUAGAAAACAAGCCAGGAGAGGCAGAAGCAGAGAACAGUAAGUAAAGAAAUGACCUUUCAACAAGGAAACAGCUUUUAUAUUACACAUUUAAAGAUACAUUGAUAUAGUGCUUUUUGAAUAACAUAAAAAGACUCUUUUUUUGUUGUAAUAGCUAAAUAAAACCACGACUGAUGUUACAUUUCAAUGGGCUCAGUAACAGCUUCCAUUUCCACUGGAGUUACUGCACAGCUCUCCAUAUCUACUGCUCAUAGAUCACUCCCUAAUCAGUGAAAUUCUAAAAAUUAUUUAUAAGUAUAAAUAAUAAGUAAAAACUAUCAUUUUAAUAAGAACAGCUUAACUAAAAAUGUGAAAAUUGUGGUAUUCAAUUACACUUUAUGUUUAAUCCAUUCAAGUGCCCCACUCAUUCAUCUCAUCAACCUCAGGAUCAGACUUUACUGUCUAAGUUUGAUGGUUUGUGAUGAAUUCUGGGAAACAAGCUCAGUGGAAGCCUCCUUCCACAGCCUCAGUGGAAGACAAGUCCUGAGAAGAUCAGCUCAAACACACACACACAUUAUAAUUAUCAUUAAAAACGCUAUUCAAUAAACUUUCCAUGAGGAGUGAUUAUUUCUGCAAAUGCACCGAGUGGUCAAACAGGAAGGUGGUCAGUUUGAGCCUUUUUAAUGCAGCAGGACCGGACGGCGUCUCGGCUUGGCUCCUUACGGCCUGAACUCUGCAGCAGCACUGGUGUUCAGGGGGAUAUUCCACCUGUCCCUGGAACAGUCACUAAUCUCCAGGUAAAAAAACCCACUUCACUACUGUCCUGAAGAAGCUCGACAGUGUCUUUACCACCUUAGACCAUUCACAGACAUUCAACUGAACUGAAAAUGGAAGAAAAAUUUCACCAUGAAAAAUAUAUACUCAAAGUCUUUGACAGUCAAAUGUAAUAUAAAAAGCAAUAAAUUCCGGCAAACUAGAACAAGUGAGUGU